GGCAUCAUACUUAAUACGUGUGGUGAUUGACGUACUCGCAGAAGAAGCACCGGCUAACUCCGUGCCAGCAGCCGCGGGUAAUACGGAGGGUGCAAGCGUUAAUCGGAAAUUACUGGGCGUAAAGCGCACGCAGGCGGUUUGUUAAGUCAGAUGUGAAAUCCCCGCGCUUAACGUGGGAACUGCAUUUGAAACUGGCAAGCUAGAGUCUUGUAGAGGGGGGUAGAAUUCCAGGUGUAGCGGUGAAAUGCGUAGAGAUCUGGAGGAAUACCGGUGGCGAAGGCGGCCCCCUGGACAAAGACUGACGCUCAGGUGCGAAAGCGUGGGGAGCAAACAGGAUUAGAUACCCUGGUAGUCCACGCUGUAAACGAUGUCGACUUGGAGGUUGUGCCCUUGAGGCGUGGCUUCCGGAGCUAACGCGUUAAGUCGACCGCCUGGGGAGUACGGCCGCAAGGUUAAAACUCAAAUGAAUUGACGGGGGCCCGCACAAGCGGUGGAGCAUGUGGUUUAAUUCGAUGCAACGCGAAGAACCUUACCUACUCUUGACAUCCACGGAAUUCGCCAGAGAUGGCUUAGUGCCUUCGGGAACCGUGAGACAGGUGCUGCAUGGCUGUCGUCAGCUCGUGUUGUGAAAUGUUGGGUUAAGUCCCGCAACGAGCGCAACCCUUAUCCUUUGUUGCCAGCACGUAAUGGUGGGAACUCAAAGGAGACUGCCGGUGAUAAACCGGAGGAAGGUGGGGAUGACGUCAAGUCAUCAUGGCCCUUACGAGUAGGGCUACACACGUGCUACAAUGGCAUAUACAAAGAGAAGCGAACUCGCGAGAGCAAGCGGACCUCAUAAAGUAUGUCGUAGUCCGGAUUGGAGUCUGCAACUCGACUCCAUGAAGUCGGAAUCGCUAGUAAUCGUAGAUCAGAAUGCUACGGUGAAUACGUUCCCGGGCCUUGUACACACCGCCCGUCACACCAUGGGAGUGGGUUGCAAAAGAAGUAGGUAGCUUAACCUCGGGAAAGCGUCUCACC
Molecule: ribosomal RNA, 1017 nt
Filed under: Rahnella aquatilis
Lineage: Bacteria; Pseudomonadati; Pseudomonadota; Gammaproteobacteria; Enterobacterales; Yersiniaceae
Description: bacterial SSU rRNA
Rfam family: Bacterial small subunit ribosomal RNA
Source: RNAcentral